CCCGGACUUUACCCAGGAAAUAGGCCACAUCAGGAGUGCACAGGGGCGCAAGAAGAAACCAAUCCUGCCAUCAGGAACACUCUGCACUUGGGAAUUCUCUUUUUCAAAAAGCACCCCCUUCCAAGAGGUCUGGCUGCUGUCUUACCUUUGCACAUCACAAAUGGUUCCCUCCUAUUCUAAAGGGAAGGAAUGUGCUGAAGUGUCCCUGCGGCCUGCCACGUGAGAGAGUGACAGCGGUGUGAUGAUGACCCAAUUGGAUAGUGGAUGGAGGAUUCUCGACACCAGUUCAAUUACAGGAGGUAUCCCAAAUAACGUGUAUGUGGAGACAGACAGGGGAACCCCAAGGCUACGCUGACUGGGGAGGGCAGUAUGGCUUCACAGAUGGAAUUCAUGGUUUCUUCCUCUACUCCUGGCCCCCGUGGUGACCUUCUGCAAGUCUGAGGCAAGAAGUUUCUUCAUAACGAAGAAGAGAUACAGUGGGGCCUAACAUUUUUUGUGAACUGUCAUCUUUACACCUUUGGAAAUGCCUCUGUAAUCUGUUAGGCUAACAGAAACUUGCUGUACCAUUAUGUUAUGAUAGAUAAAAGCAAGCAUUUUGGGCUCAUUAGCUAGGAAAUGCUCAGUACCUGUAGACUAUCAUUAAUAUUCAACAUGUGCUGUUGAAUUAUGCAACUCAUUAUUUUAUUAUCUUUACAUUUUGACUUUAUAUUUAUUCAAAAAAAAAAAAAAAAGAAAGAAAGAAAGAAAAAGAAAGAAAAGAAGAAAGGAAAAAAUCUCCAGUUACCAUCAUCUCGUAUCUCUGAACUUGAACUACUGGAAUGAUUGCCUUUGCUGUGUAAGCAAGGUUAACCCCCACCUACAUGCAUGUUCCCUUGGAGAAUGGUAUUUACACUAUCACGUGAUAAGCAGCUAGUUCCAAUCUGUUUUGGAAACCAGUUAAAUAGAAAUAAUCUCAAAAAAUCAAUAUUCAGAAAAUGACCUUCCCUUUACUCCGGAGGAGUGGUUUGAGUAACCAAGAGAGCAGCCUUUUCAUUGCUCCUUGUCCCGCUGCACAAGUUUGCAUUCACACUGGAGAACCACAUUACUCCACAGAUGAUGAUACAGCAAAUAACAUAAGGAAGUGCUGGGCCAGAGAAGCGCAGAGAGCGAGAGGUUCCUGCGGAUGAACAAUGGUGCCUGCCACAUCAGUAAACAAAGGAUGUUGCAACCAUCAGACCAUCAGCCACUGCAACUGUCCUGUCCCCAGCGGUGAGCCCUGAAGCAACUCAGGGUGGAGAAAAACAGGCUGCUUGCCACCCCAACAGUGCACCCUGAGGGGAUUCAGGUUGGGAGAGGAGAGGAUGCUGGCCCUACACAGCUAAGGUGCAUAUCAAAGGGAUGAUUUCAAUGAGCCCAGACUCUUGCAUCUUCCUACACAUAGAAAAGCACUAAAUUCAUGAACUUGAGAAGGCUGGUUUUCUUUAAUUAACAAUAACCUUUUGAUGGUCUGACCACCCUGUUUUUGUUGCAAAACUCCUAUAUAUCCUGGCUCUUCCCACACCUCUCCAGAGCAGUCCCUCAGAGCUAUCUGAAAGUCUGUCUUCUGGGCUUAUGUCCUCAGAAAGUAUGCUGAAUAAAACAUCAUUCUCAAUU
Camelus dromedarius (Arabian camel) is the source of this 1632-nucleotide long non-coding RNA. RefSeq lists it as uncharacterized. The record is from RefSeq and is a predicted model, not a curated record. The transcript is spliced from 4 exons. NCBI's taxonomy places the organism in Eukaryota, Metazoa, Chordata, Mammalia, Artiodactyla, Camelidae.